This 460-nucleotide ribosomal RNA is filed under the name uncultured bacterium. Its description in RNAcentral is "partial 16S ribosomal RNA". It matches the Rfam family "Bacterial small subunit ribosomal RNA", at positions 338 to 795 of the family's 1533-position model. The record is from RNAcentral.
CCUACGGGUGGCAGCAGUGAGGAAUAUUGGUCAAUGGACGAAAGUCUGAACCAGCCAUGCCGCGUGAAGGAUGACUGCUCUAUGAGUUGUAAACUGCUUUUGUAAGGGAGUAAAUCCCGAUACGUGUAUCUGGUUGCACGUAUAGUAUGAAUAAGGAUCGGCUAACUCCGGGCCAGCAGCCGCGGUAAUACGGAGGAUCCAAGCGUUAUCCGGAUUUAUUGGGUUUAAAGGGAGCGUAGACGGGUCGGUAAGUCAGUGGUGAAAGUCCGGGGCUCAACUGCGGAACUGCAUUUGAUACUGGCAGGCUAGAGUAUAGUUGAGGUAGGCGGAAUUCAUGGUGUAGCGGUGAAAUGCAUAGAGAUCAGGCAGAACACCGAUUGUGAAGGCAGCUUACUAAACUACGACUGACGUUGAUGCUCGAAAGUGUGGGGAGCAAACAGGAUUAGAUACCCGGGUAGUC